RNAcentral lists this ribosomal RNA (443 nucleotides) under Plagusia squamosa. Its description in RNAcentral is "partial 12S small subunit ribosomal RNA". Lineage: Eukaryota; Metazoa; Arthropoda; Malacostraca; Decapoda; Plagusiidae. The record is from RNAcentral.
AAAGGUGAAAUUUAUAUAUUAUCUUGUAAUUUUAUUUUGUAAUUGAAGCUAGUAAAAUUUGAUCAUAAACUAGGAUUAGAUACCCUAUUAUUUCAAGUGAUGUUUAAAAAAUAAUAAAUUAGUAGUAGAUAAACACUUAAAAAUUAAAAAAUUUGGCGGUAAUUUAAUCUUUUCAGAGGAAUUUGUUUCUUAAUCGAUAAUCCACGUAAUAUCUUACUUGAGUUUGUAUACCAUCAUUAUCAGGUAAUUCUUAAAAGAAAAAUUACUAAACCUAAUUGUUUAUGAAAAUUAGAUCAUGGUGCAGCUUAUAAAUAAGUAGAAAUGAAUUACAAUAAAUUGUUUUAGACGAAUUAGUGACUAUAAAGGAGGAUUUGAUUGUAACAAGGUUUAAUAAGCCUUUUUGACAUGAGCACUAAAUUAUGUACAUAUCGCCCGUCGCUUUC